AGCUAGCCCGGUUUCUUUGGGGUACAGGUGGGUUUUUCCUACAGAGAUUAAAACAUGUAACACCUUAUGGAGAACAGCUGUCACUCAGAUGCCCCGCACAGACUGCAGGGGCUGACGGGGCCAGGACCUGACACGGCUGAUCUUUUCUGUAAACACGGAGGGUUCGCAUGGGCAGUGUCCCUCCAGGGCAGAGGAGUUCCUGGAGGCGGCGCUCAGGUGGUUUUAGAUCUUCUCCUCUCCGGGCAGUCACUUCCCACCGCCCCCAGAAGCGGCCAAACGUGCGCACUCGAUGGCACCAGCCCCGCGUUCCGCGGCGAGGUCCGCAUCUGGCCCCCCGCAGCAACCUAACCCCGGAGCAGCCUUUAAAGACAUGCUCCACUAGAAGAGCGAAUCCACGGCGCUGGUGCAUUCAAUGCAGCCAUCUUUGCCGCUGAAUAGCGGGUCCCUGCGGACGUGAAGUCUCCAGUGUGCUGCAGUGUGCAGCAUCCCACAGGCAACGACGACACAGAAGUAGCUGUGCUCCCCGUGGGAAGCCCGAAUGUAAGCAGCCGCUGGAGAACAAGCGCCUGAACCAACCCUGUUCUACAGCCCGACUGCAGCUCUCCAUCGGUCACAACCAAGAAACAAGGGAGUACCAGAACCUAAGACAGGAAGCGCCAAUGUGGUAGGGGUGAAGAGAAAAAACACACCCCAUGCAAACAAAGAAGAGGGGAGGAACAAAGUAGAAAAGAGCAUGGACCAGAACUGCAGGAAGCAUGGGGGAGAAGAGGAAAAAGGACCAGAUAC
This is a long non-coding RNA of Chrysemys picta bellii (western painted turtle), 786 nucleotides long. RefSeq lists it as uncharacterized. The record is from RefSeq and is a predicted model, not a curated record. Lineage: Eukaryota; Metazoa; Chordata; Testudines; Emydidae.